This 1237-nucleotide ribosomal RNA is filed under the name bacterium UWNR1. RNAcentral's name for it is "bacterial SSU rRNA". It matches the Rfam family "Bacterial small subunit ribosomal RNA", at positions 72 to 1314 of the family's 1533-position model. The record is from RNAcentral.
CGCGGGGCAACCUGGCGGCGAGUGGCGAACGGGUGAGUAAUAUAUCGGAACGUACCCUGGAGUGGGGGAUAACGUAGCGAAAGUUACGCUAAUACCGCAUACGAUCUAAGGAUGAAAGUGGGGGAUCGCAAGACCUCAUGCUCCUGGAGCGGCCGAUAUCUGAUUAGCUAGUUGGUGGGGUAAAGGCCUACCAAGGCAUCGAUCAGUAGCUGGUCUGAGAGGACGACCAGCCACACUGGAACUGAGACACGGUCCAGACUCCUACGGGAGGCAGCAGUGGGGAAUUUUGGACAAUGGGCGCAAGCCUGAUCCAGCAAUGCCGCGUGAGUGAAGAAGGCCUUCGGGUUGUAAAGCUCUUUUGUCAGGGAAGAAACGGUGGAGGCUAAUAUCCUUCUGCUAAUGACGGUACCUGAAGAAUAAGCACCGGCUAACUACGUGCCAGCAGCCGCGGUAAUACGUAGGGUGCAAGCGUUAAUCGGAAUUASYGGGCGGAAAGCGCGCGCAGGCGUGUUUGUCUGUCGGKAAUGAACCCCCCGGGCCCAAGGAGGGACGUGCGAUGGAGAMUGCAWGGCUAGAGGCUGGCGGGGGGGGAUAGACUUGCGCGGCUAUCAAWGAAGUGCGUAGGUGGRUGGAGGACCACCGCGGGCGAAGCCCCCCCGGCGRGCUAUGACGCUCGCGCACGCACGCGUGGGGGGGAAGCAAGCUUAGAUACCCUCGUAGUCCGCGCCCUAACUGAUGUCUACUAGUUGUCGGGUCUUAAUUGACUUGGUAGCGAAGCUAACGCGUGAAGUAAACCGCCUGGGGAGUACGGUCGCAAGAUUAAAACUCAAAGGAAUUGACGGGGACCCGCACAAGCGGUGGAUGAUGUGGAUUAAUUCGAUGCAACGCGAAAAACCUUACCUACCCUUGACAUGGCAGGAAUUCCCGGAGAGAUUGUGGAAGUGCUCGAAAGAGAACCUGCACACAGGUGCUGCAUGGCUGUCGUCAGCUCGUGUCGUGAGAUGUUGGGUUAAGUCCCGCAACGAGCGCAACCCUUGUCAUUAGUUGCUACGAAAGGGCACUCUAAUGAGACUGCCGGUGACAAACCGGAGGAAGGUGGGGAUGACGUCAAGUCCUCAUGGCCCUUAUGGGUAGGGCUUCACACGUCAUACAAUGGUACAUACAGAGGGCCGCCAACCCGCGAGGGGGAGCUAAUCCCAGAAAGUGUAUCGUAGUCCGGAUUGUAGUCUGCAACUCG